Molecule: ribosomal RNA, 588 nt
Filed under: uncultured bacterium
Lineage: Bacteria
Description: partial 16S ribosomal RNA
Rfam family: Bacterial small subunit ribosomal RNA
Source: RNAcentral
UGGGGAAUUUUGGGCAAUGGGCGAAAGCCUGAUCCAGCAAUGCCGCGUGUGUGAAGAAGGCCUUCGGGUUGUAAAGCACUUUUGUCCGGAAAGAAAUCCUUGGCUCUAAUACAGUCGGGGGAUGACGGUACCGGAAGAAUAAGCACCGGCUAACUGCGUGCCAGCAGCCGCGGUAAUACGUAGGGUGCAAGCGUUAAUCGGAAUUACUGGGCGUAAAGCGUGCGCAGGCGGUUUGCUAAGACCGAUGUGAAAUCCCCGGGCUCAACCUGGGAACUGCAUUGGUGACUGGCAGGCUAGAGUAUGGCAGAGGGGGGUAGAAUUCCACGUGUAGCAGUGAAAUGCGUAGAGAUGUGGAGGAAUACCGAUGGCGAAGGCAGCCCCCUGGGCCAAAUACUGACGCUCAUGCACGAAAGCGUGGGGGAGCAAAACAGGAUUAGAUACCCUGGUAGUCCACGCCCUAAACGAUGUCAACUAGUUGUUGGGGAUUCAUUUCCUUAGUAACGUAGCUAACGCGUGAAGUUGACCGCCUGGGGAGUACGGUCGCAAGAUUAAAACUCAAAUGAAUUGACGGGGUCAUAGCUGUUUCCU